GGCAACUACUGGCAAGCUGCCGCGGUAAUACGUAGUGGGCAAUCGUUGUCCGGAAUUAUUUGGCGGAAAGCGCGCGCAGGCUGUCCUUUAAGUCUGAUGGGAAAGCCCACGGCUCAACCGUGGAGGGUCAUUGGAAACUGGGGGACUUGAGUGCAGAAGAGGAAAGCGGAAUUCCACGUGUAGCGGUGAAAUGCGUAGAGAUGUGGAGGAACACCAGUGGCGAAGGCGGCUUUCUGGUCUGUAACUGACGCUGAGGCGCGAAAGCGUGGGGAGCAAACAGGAUUAGAUACCCCAGUAGUC
RNAcentral lists this ribosomal RNA (300 nucleotides) under uncultured Lactobacillus sp. RNAcentral describes it as "bacterial SSU rRNA". It matches the Rfam family "Bacterial small subunit ribosomal RNA", at positions 496 to 795 of the family's 1533-position model. Lineage: Bacteria; Bacillati; Bacillota; Bacilli; Lactobacillales; Lactobacillaceae. The record is from RNAcentral.